RNAcentral lists this unclassified non-coding RNA (514 nucleotides) under Hevea brasiliensis (rubber tree). The record is from RNAcentral. Lineage: Eukaryota; Viridiplantae; Streptophyta; Magnoliopsida; Malpighiales; Euphorbiaceae.
UUUCUCUUUUUUAACAAAGAUAGCAAUAAACACCACUUAAUUAAAUGCAUGACCAUUGCAAAUCUUCAUCAUGUACAGCACACAGUGGACUGAGCAGACACAAUCAUUAAAGGAUAAGCACUAAUGAAAUUUCAUUUGAACGCAUCUAAUCCAGUAGGGGUAAAGCAUUCACAGCCACCAAAAUAACACAAACAAGCCACGUUAUAUCAGCUGGAUAGCAAUAAGUUGGUAUCACUUAUUGUUCAGAAAUGGGAACUUGUAAUCCAUGGUUAAAGCCUCCAAACACAACACUGCCUUUCUACAUGGAGAGCAACAGUUUACAGGCAGAUGGAGAGCUGUUAGUAGGCCUAGUUAUUUCAGAGCAUGCUGAUGAAGUCAUUGGAAUGGUUUUCAAUCAUCUUCAAUUUACUAAGUGAUAUAUUGCUAAAAUGCCUGCUCACCGCAGCAAGAUUGACAAGACAAUUACCAAAAAUUGUAAAAUUCAAGUAACAUUUAAUGCUGCAAACUGACUUAC